Molecule: ribosomal RNA, 467 nt
Filed under: uncultured bacterium
Lineage: Bacteria
Description: partial 16S ribosomal RNA
Rfam family: Bacterial small subunit ribosomal RNA
Source: RNAcentral
GACGAACGCUGGCGGCGUGCUUAACACAUGCAAGUCGAACGGAAAGGCCCUGCUUUUGUGGGGUGCUCGAGUGGCGAACGGGUGAGUAACACGUGAGUAACCUGCCCUGACUUUGGGAUAACUUCAGGAAACUGGGGCUAAUACCGGAUAGGAGCUCCUGCUGCAUGGGGGGGGUUGGAAAGGUUCGGCGGUUGGGGAUGGACUCGCGGCUUAUCAGCUUGUUGGUGGGGUAGUGGCUUACCAAGGCUUUGACGGGUAGCCGGCCUGAGAGGGUGACCGGCCACAUUGGGACUGAGAUACGGCCCAGACUCCUACGGGAGGCAGCAGUGGGGAAUAUUGCACAAUGGGCGGAAGCCUGAUGCAGCAACGCCGCGUGCGGGAUGACGGCCUUCGGGUUGUAAACCGCUUUCGCCUGUGACGAAGCGUGAGUGACGGUAAUGGGUAAAGAAGCACCGGCUAACUACGUG